RNAcentral lists this microRNA precursor (82 nucleotides) under Pelodiscus sinensis (Chinese soft-shelled turtle). RNAcentral describes it as "miRNA (ENSPSIG00000019953.1)". The record is from RNAcentral. Lineage: Eukaryota; Metazoa; Chordata; Testudines; Trionychidae.
AGUUCACUGACACAAAACCUGUUGAAGUUAAUCAAAGUCUUUUUCCAUUGACUUCAGUGGUGUUUGGAUCAUGACUUUAAUU